RNAcentral lists this ribosomal RNA (492 nucleotides) under uncultured bacterium. RNAcentral describes it as "partial 16S ribosomal RNA". It matches the Rfam family "Bacterial small subunit ribosomal RNA", at positions 29 to 507 of the family's 1533-position model. The record is from RNAcentral.
AGUGAACGCUGGCGGUAGGCCUAACACAUGCAAGUCGAACGGCAGCACAGUAAGAGCUUGCUCUUACGGGUGGCGAGUGGCGGACGGGUGAGGAAUACAUCGGAAUCUACUUUUUCGUGGGGGAUAACGUAGGGAAACUUACGCUAAUACCGCAUACGACCUACGGGUGAAAUCAGGAGAUCUUCAGACCUUGCGCGAUUGAAUGAGCCGAUGUCGGAUUAGCUAGUUGGCGGGGUAAAGGCCCACCAAGGCGACGAUCCGUAGCUGGUCUGAGAGGAUGAUUAGCCACACUGGAACUGAGACACGGUCCAGACUCCGACGGGAGGCAGCAGUGGGGAAUAUUGGACAAUGGGCGCAAGCCUGAUCCAGCCAUACCGCGUGGGUGAAGAAGGCCUUCGGGUUGUAAAGCCCUUUUGUUGGGAAAGAAAAGCAGCAGGUUAAUACCCCGCUGUUCUGACGGUACCCAAAGAAUAAGCACCGGCUAACUUCGUG